Molecule: transfer RNA, 70 nt
Filed under: Dipodomys ordii (Ord's kangaroo rat)
Lineage: Eukaryota; Metazoa; Chordata; Mammalia; Rodentia; Heteromyidae
Rfam family: tRNA
About the family: Transfer RNA (tRNA) molecules are approximately 80 nucleotides in length. Their secondary structure includes four short double-helical elements and three loops (D, anti-codon, and T loops).
Source: Rfam by way of RNAcentral
GGGAACGUAGCUCAGUAGUAGAGUGCUUGCCUUGCAUGCAUGAGGCCCUGGGUUCAACUCCCCGGUACUA